AUGAAGAGGCUAUGGCGUCUUCAGGUGGUCCUGUCAUGGGUCCUGGCCGUCGUUCUCGGCUCAGUCCACGGCCAUGUGCGGCGGCAAUGGGGAGAGCAGGUGCCCCCGGAGUCGCGGCCGCACAGCGUCACCAUUACCGAGUUCGGCGCCGUAGGGGAUGGUAGGACCCUGAACACCCUGCCCUUCCAAAACGCCGUCUUCUACGCCCGGUCCUUCGCCGACAAGGGCGGCGCGCAGCUGUACGUCCCCAAGGGUCGAUGGCUCACCGGCAGCUUCAACCUCACCAGCCAUCUCACCCUCUUCCUCGAGAAAGAUGCCAUCAUCGUCGGCACGGAGGAGUCCUCGCAAUGGCCAAUUGUGGAACCUUUGCCAUCUUAUGGCCAGGGACUAGACCUUCCAGGUCCUAGACAUUGUAGCUUAAUAAAUGGAUACAAUUUAACAGAUGUUGUUAUUACUGGGAAUAAUGGACUUAUCGAUGGCCAGGGCUUAGUAUGGUGGGAUUGGCUUCGCUCUCAUGAACUAAAUCAUAGCCGCCCUCAUCUCGUGGAGUUUCUGUAUUCUGAAGAAAUUGUGAUAUCAAACUUGACAUUUUUGAACUCACCAGCCUGGAGCAUACAUCCAGUGUACUGCAGCAAUGUAAAGGUUCAUAACGUCACAAUUAAGACUUUGUUGGAUGCUCCACUCACUGAUGGCAUAGUUCCAGAUUCAUGUUUGAAUGUCUGCAUCGAAGACAGCACCAUUAGUGUCAGUCAUGAAGCCAUCUCAGUGAAAAGUGGGUUGGACAAGUACGGCAUUUCUAUCGGAAGGCCAACCUCGGACAUUCAUAUCAGCAGAGUGGAUCUUCAAGCGUCAUCUGGUGCUGCACUUGCAUUUGGCAGUGAGAUGUCCGGUGGGAUCUCAGGUAUUCAUGCUGACCACCUAAGGAUACAUGGUUCUGAUAAAGGGUUCUCUUUGAAGACCACCCCUGGUCGUGGAGGUUACAUAAAGGAAGUGAUCAUCUCAGAUGUAGAAAUGGAUGGUAUCCGUGUGGCCAUUGAAUUCAUAGGUAAUUUAUCAAGCCAUCCAGAUGAUGAUUUUGAUCCGUCUGAGCUUCCGGUGAUUGAUCAAAUCACCUUAAAGAAUAUGGUGGGAACAAACAUCUCGGUUGCAGGAAUUUUAUUAGGAAUUGACAGUGAUCCAUUUACUGCGAUUUGCCUUUCCAAUCUCAGUUUCUCGAUAACUGAUUCGCUCCAUUCUAGUCCCUGGUCUUGUUCCAAUGUUUCUGGAUACUCGGAAUCGGUCUUGCCUGAGCCUUGCUCGGAACUGUAUGCACCAUCCUCAAAUUCUUCAAUUUGCUUCUCCCUUCCUAGUUACAGUGCACUUGAUGUGGCAUAG
RNAcentral lists this ribosomal RNA (1374 nucleotides) under Triticum aestivum (bread wheat). Its description in RNAcentral is "partial small subunit ribosomal RNA". The record is from RNAcentral. Lineage: Eukaryota; Viridiplantae; Streptophyta; Magnoliopsida; Poales; Poaceae.